CCUAUCAUUUCUUUACCUAGGCGCUUGCCUAAGAUCAAAUUUUUCACCAGAUCCUCUCCCCUAGUAUCUUCAGCACAUGCUCACUGUCCUCCCCAUCCUUGUCCUUCCCAUGUUCAUUAGUUCCUAUUGCCCUGUCCCUAGUCCCAUUUUCACUUCCUUUGACACUCCUAGUAGUUUUAAGUCUUACCUGUAAUUUUUGCUUUUAAUUUUGAUACCUCUUUAUGACUUAAUAAAAAGUAUGGAUGCUUUUUAUCUACUGUCUCCAAAAUAAUCUCUUGUUGUGCAGGGAGUACAGUUCUUUUCAUUCAUAGUUCAGUAGUUGCUUCCCUAACUGCAAAGGCAAGCUCAUUUAGUUGAGUAGCUCCUAAAAGCAGCUUUGAGUCAGAAGUAUGUGUGUUAUACCCCAACAUUAGUGUGCUGUGUGGGGUAGUUCAACAAAAAUGUAACCAUGUAUUUUUGUGAAUGAGAGUUGGCAUGUCAAAUGUAUCCUCUAGAAAAAUAAUUAGUGUUAAAGUCUUAAGAUUUGUUUUCUAAAGUUGAUACUGUGGGUUAUUUUUGUGAACAGCCUGAUGUUUGGGACCUUUUUUCCUCAAAACAAACAAGUCCUUAUUAAACCAGGAAUUUGGAGAAAAAUUAAAAAAAAAAAAGAAAGAAA
Sapajus apella (tufted capuchin) is the source of this 655-nucleotide long non-coding RNA. RefSeq lists it as uncharacterized. NCBI's taxonomy places the organism in Eukaryota, Metazoa, Chordata, Mammalia, Primates, Cebidae. The transcript has 2 exons. The record is from RefSeq and is a predicted model, not a curated record.